This 678-nucleotide long non-coding RNA is filed under the name Vigna radiata. Its description in RNAcentral is "long non-coding RNA (VRAD_LNC008083)". Lineage: Eukaryota; Viridiplantae; Streptophyta; Magnoliopsida; Fabales; Fabaceae. The record is from RNAcentral.
UGCAAGUCCUUAAAUAAAUCAAAAAUUGCAACCACAAGCCCAAGUCGCUGGCGCUCAGCGCCCCUUCUUAGGGCAAGUAGGCGCCCAUGCGAGAGAAGUGGCGCUCAGGGCCCCUUAAAGGGUAAGCAAGUCUCGUGUGACUCCUUCUACUGGCGCGCAGCGCCCCUGUUGUGACACUCAGCCUGACGAGGUGACUGAUAAUGGUUGAAAAUACCGUUAUCUGUGAUGUAAUUUUGAUACUAAAUGCACCCUUUUCUGCUUAGAACUUGCUUGGAAUCAUGUUUUUCUAUUAAGUUGUGUGAAUAAGAGAGUUGAGGUUGAAUUCAACGACUUUAUAACUAAUUCCCCUUAUUUUGGCAGAGAAUGAGGUAAUACUGAAAGUAGAGAUGAAAAGCCCAGGAGAUGGAGCUCAGAAAGGCCUAGAAAAGCACCAGAAGGAUAGACAACACGCAGCUUGGGCGCCCUGUGUGGAGGCUCAGGUGCUGAAAUCCAACGUUCACCGCCCGGGCGCCUCCAUUGGGCACUUGAGAGUCAGGCCUCGAGGCUUGGGCACCCCUCUAGAAGGCUCAAGCCCUACAUGACAGUCGUGCACCACCCGGGCACCCUAAAUGAGGCGCCUGAGCGUCGUGCGUCGUGAAUCAAGCCCAGAUCUGCUCUGUUUUGACUCUAUUGGACCAG